RNAcentral lists this ribosomal RNA (465 nucleotides) under Vreelandella stevensii. RNAcentral describes it as "partial 16S ribosomal RNA". It matches the Rfam family "Bacterial small subunit ribosomal RNA", at positions 338 to 795 of the family's 1533-position model. Lineage: Bacteria; Pseudomonadati; Pseudomonadota; Gammaproteobacteria; Oceanospirillales; Halomonadaceae. The record is from RNAcentral.
CCUACGGGAGGCUGCAGUGGGGAAUAUUGGACAAUGGGGGGAACCCUGAUCCAGCCAUGCCGCGUGUGUGAAGAAGGCCCUCGGGUUGUAAAGCACUUUCAGUGAGGAAGAACGCCUGGUGGUUAAUACCCAUCAGGAAAGACAUCACUCACAGAAGAAGCACCGGCUAACUCCGUGCCAGCAGCCGCGGUAAUACGGAGGGUGCGAGCGUUAAUCGGAAUUACUGGGCGUAAAGCACGCGUAGGUGGCUUGAUAAGCCGGUUGUGAAAGCCCCGGGCUCAACCUGGGAACGGCAUCCGGAACUGUCAAGCUAGAGUGCAGGAGAGGAAGGUAGAAUUCCCGGUGUAGCGGUGAAAUGCGUAGAGAUCGGGAGGAAUACCAGUGGCGAAGGCGGCCUUCUGGACUGACACUGACACUGAGGUGCGAAAGCGUGGGUAGCAAACAGGAUUAGAUACCCCAGUAGUC